GACGAACGCUGGCGGCGUGCUUAACACAUGCAAGUCGAACGGAAAGGCCCUGCUUUUGUGGGCUGCUCGAGUGGCGAACGGGUGAGUAACCCGUGAGUAACCUGCCCUUGACUUUGGGAUAACUUAAGGACACUGGGGCUAAUCCCGGCUAGGAGCUCCUGCUGCAUGGUGGGGGUUGGAAAGUUUCGGCGGUUGGGGAUGGACUCGCGGCGUAUUAGCUUGUUGGUUGGGUAGUGGAUUACCAAGGCUAUGACGGGUAGCCGGGCUGGGAGGGUGAGAGGACACGUCAGGACUGAGAUAAGACACAGACUCCUACGGGAGGCAGCGGUGGAGAAUAUUGCACAAUGGGCGGAAGCAUGAUGCAGCAACGCCGCGUGCGGGAUGACGGCCUUCGGGUUGGAAACCGCUUCCGCCUGUGACGAAACGUGAGUGACAGUACCGGGUAAAGAAGCACCGGCUAACUACGUG
RNAcentral lists this ribosomal RNA (468 nucleotides) under uncultured bacterium. RNAcentral's name for it is "partial 16S ribosomal RNA". It matches the Rfam family "Bacterial small subunit ribosomal RNA", at positions 28 to 507 of the family's 1533-position model. The record is from RNAcentral.